UACGUAGGGUGCAAGCGUUAAUCGGAAUUACUGGGCGUAAAGCGUGCGCAGGCGGUUUCGUAAGUCUGUCGUGAAAUCCCCGGGCUUAACCUGGGAAUGGCGAUGGAGACUGCGAGGCUAGAGUUUGGCAGAGGGGGGUAGAAUUCCACGUGUAGCAGUGAAAUGCGUAGAGAUGUGGAGGAACACCGAUGGCGAAGGCAGCCCCCUGGGCUAACACUGACGCUCAUGCACGAAAGCGUGGGGAGCAAACAGG
RNAcentral lists this ribosomal RNA (253 nucleotides) under uncultured bacterium. Its description in RNAcentral is "partial 16S ribosomal RNA". It matches the Rfam family "Bacterial small subunit ribosomal RNA", at positions 524 to 776 of the family's 1533-position model. The record is from RNAcentral.